This 329-nucleotide unclassified non-coding RNA is filed under the name soil metagenome. Its description in RNAcentral is "partial contains 5.8S ribosomal RNA, internal transcribed spacer 2, and large subunit ribosomal RNA". The stretch from base 1 to 120 matches the Rfam family "5.8S ribosomal RNA", at positions 35 to 154 of the family's 154-position model. The record is from RNAcentral.
GAUGAAGAACGUAGCGAAAUGCGAUAAGUAAUGUGAAUUGCAGAAUUCAGUGAAUCAUCGAAUCUUUGAACGCACAUUACGCCCUCUGGUAUUCCGGGGGGCAUGCCUGUUCGAGCGUCAUUAUAACCACUCAAGCUCUCGCUUGGUAUUGGGGUUCGCGGUUCCGCGGCCCCUAAAAUCAGUGGCGGUGCCUGUCGGCUCUACGCGUAGUAAUACUCCUCGCGAUUGAGUCCGGUAGGUCUACUUGCCAGCAACCCCCAAUUUUUACAGGUUGACCUCGGAUCAGGUAGGGAUACCCGCUGAACUUAAGCAUAUCAAUAAGCGGAGGA